RNAcentral lists this ribosomal RNA (429 nucleotides) under bacterium. Its description in RNAcentral is "partial 16S ribosomal RNA". It matches the Rfam family "Bacterial small subunit ribosomal RNA", at positions 355 to 776 of the family's 1533-position model. The record is from RNAcentral.
UAGGGAAUCUUCGGCAAUGGGGGCAACCCUGACCGAGCAACGCCGCGUGAGUGAAGAAGGUUUUCGGAUCGUAAAGCUCUGUUGUAAGAGAAGAACGUGUGUGAGAGUGGAAAGUUCACACAGUGACGGUAACUUACCAGAAAGGGACGGCUAACUACGUGCCAGCAGCCGCGGUAAUACGUAGGUCCCGAGCGCUGUCCGGAUUUAUUGGGCGUAAAGCGAGCGCAGGCGGUUUAAUAAGUCUGAAGUUAAAGGCAGUGGCUUAACCAUUGUUCGCUUUGGAAACUGUUAAACUUGAGUGCAGAAGGGGAGAGUAGAAUUCCAUGUGUAGCGGUGAAAUGCGUAGAUAUAUGGAGGAACACCGGUGGCGAAAGCGGCUCUCUGGUCUGUAACUGACGCUGAGGCUCGAAAGCGUGGGGAGCAAACAGG